This 427-nucleotide ribosomal RNA is filed under the name uncultured Wolinella sp. RNAcentral's name for it is "bacterial SSU rRNA". It matches the Rfam family "Bacterial small subunit ribosomal RNA", at positions 356 to 774 of the family's 1533-position model. Lineage: Bacteria; Pseudomonadati; Campylobacterota; Epsilonproteobacteria; Campylobacterales; Helicobacteraceae. The record is from RNAcentral.
GGGGAAUAUUGGACAAUGGGGGGAACCCUGAUCCAGCCAUGCCGCGUGUGUGAAGAAGGCCUUAUGGUUGUAAAGCACUUUAAGCGAGGAGGAGGCUCUUUUGGUUAAUACCCAAGAUGAGUGGACGUUACUCGCAGAAUAAGCACCGGCUAACUCUGUGCCAGCAGCCGCGGUAAUACAGAGGGUGCGAGCGUUAAUCGGAUUUACUGGGCGUAAAGCGUGCGUAGGCGGCCUUGCAAGUCAGAUGUGAAAUCCAACGGCUUAACCGUUGAACUGCAUUUGAAACUGCAAGGCUAGAGUAUGGGAGAGGUAGGUGGAAUUCUCGGUGUAGGGGUAAAAUCCGUAGAGAUCGAGAGGAAUACUCAUUGCGAAGGCGACCUGCUGGAACAUUACUGACGCUGAGGUGCGAAAGCGUGGGGAGCAAACA